This 229-nucleotide non-coding RNA is filed under the name Geobacillus sp. RNAcentral's name for it is "T-box sequence". It matches the Rfam family "T-box leader". From Rfam's summary of the family: Uncharged tRNA acts as the effector for transcription antitermination of genes in the T-box leader family. T-boxes are found upstream of many aminoacyl-tRNA synthetase genes and some amino acid biosynthetic genes usually in Gram-positive bacteria. The record is from RNAcentral. Lineage: Bacteria; Bacillati; Bacillota; Bacilli; Caryophanales; Anoxybacillaceae.
GAAAUAACGGUGAAGAGGAGUAGUAGUGAACAAAACGGGCAACAGAGAGUUGACGGCUGGUGCGAGUCAACCGAAGUUUGUUCACGAACUCGCCUCGGAGUUGCGGGCAUGAGCGGCUUUCGCCUCGUAAUGUCCGCCGUGAAUCUGCGUUAAUGAUGAGAGUGAGCACGUGCGCCGUCGCGUGCUAAUAAGGGUGGUACCGCGGGAAUUUUCACCUCUCGUCCCUUUU